This 406-nucleotide long non-coding RNA is filed under the name Oryzias javanicus (javanese ricefish). Its description in RNAcentral is "lncRNA (ENSOJAG00000001589.1)". Lineage: Eukaryota; Metazoa; Chordata; Actinopteri; Beloniformes; Adrianichthyidae. The record is from RNAcentral.
UAGCAGAAGACGAUUACUGGGUGCUGAUUCGGCCUCCUGGAUCCAAAGACUUCUGCGACUAUAAAAAGCAAAUGAGUUCAGUAGAUCUGAUGGAAGUCAUGAACGUGUUCCUCUCCGAGCAUGAGUGCGAGCAUGAUGACACACUACCUGACCUCUCCAGUUUCAGUCCAGAAGGAACGGCCGGGCGGAGGACGGCACAUGGACGGAGGGGAGACAGACAGACCAGAACUCUGGGGAUCGACUGUGGAGACAGCUGCAGCAAAGGCUCACUGCUGCUGGAGGCAGAGCCGUGGGAAGACGCGCUCCGAUCAAUACUCUGAUUGAUACUCUGCAUCUUGAUCAAAGAUAACCAGAAGGUCUACACGUGUUCAUCCUGAAGACCUUUUCCACAUGACGCCAGACAAGC